This 74-nucleotide transfer RNA is filed under the name Gammaproteobacteria bacterium. Its description in RNAcentral is "tRNA-Arg". It matches the Rfam family "tRNA". Rfam says of the family: Transfer RNA (tRNA) molecules are approximately 80 nucleotides in length. Their secondary structure includes four short double-helical elements and three loops (D, anti-codon, and T loops). The record is from RNAcentral. Lineage: Bacteria; Pseudomonadati; Pseudomonadota; Gammaproteobacteria.
ACCUCUGUGGCGAUUGGACGCCACCUGGCCUUCGAAGCCAGGCUUUGCGGGUUCGAAUCCUGCCGGGGGUGCCA